This 351-nucleotide ribosomal RNA is filed under the name uncultured bacterium. RNAcentral's name for it is "bacterial SSU rRNA". It matches the Rfam family "Bacterial small subunit ribosomal RNA", at positions 917 to 1271 of the family's 1533-position model. The record is from RNAcentral.
GGGCCCGCACAAGCGGUGGAGCAUGUGGUUUAAUUCGAUGAUACGCGAGGAACCUUACCAGGGCUUAAAUGCAGAGCGAAUAGUUUGGAAACAGGCUAGCCUUCGGGCGAUCUGCAAGGUGCUGCAUGGCUGUCGUCAGCUCGUGCUGUGAAGUGUCGGGUUAAGUCCCAUAACGAGCGCAACCCCCAUUUCUAGUUGCCAGCGGUUCGGCCGGGGACUCUAGAGAAACUGCCAGCGUAAGCUGUGAGGAAGGUGGGGAUGACGUCAAAUCAUCACGGCCCUUACAUCCUGGGCCACACACGUGCUACAAUGGUGGGGACAACAGGUUGCCAACCCGCGAGGGUGAGCCAA